This 605-nucleotide long non-coding RNA is filed under the name Olea europaea subsp. europaea. The record is from RNAcentral. Lineage: Eukaryota; Viridiplantae; Streptophyta; Magnoliopsida; Lamiales; Oleaceae.
AUUUUCCUAAAUCAUUGCUUUUCAAUGCUUCAGGUUGUCUACAUGACUUGUCGCCAGCAUAUGAACAAGUUACCAGACUCGAAAAAUAAUUGGCUUUAUAGAAAAGUGAGAGGAGCGGGGACCGACUCCAAGCUGUGUUGAUAAAAAGAGGUUAAAGAUCAAAUAAUUCGGUUGAGGAGAAAUAGUGACCUAAAACCAGGAGGGGGUGUGCUUGGAUAUUUGCUUGGUAUAUGCAUGAAGAUUUUAUUUUGAUUUAUGCAAUUUCAGGCCAGUACUAAGAACUUAAAUCUCGAGUAAUUUUAGUUGCUCUUGGAAGAGAGCAGAGAAAAGAAAAACGGAGGGAAAGAACCAGAAGAGAGAGAGGAAGAAAAGAAAGAAAGAAAUAAACCUAAUUAUAAAAAGUAGGCGUUGAUUUUACUGAACUAGUCAAAGAAUGUUUUACUGUUCCAGGAGCGUGACGAAUGAAAUAAUUUUUACUCCCUUUCGAAAUAUGCAAGGUUAUUAGUCCCUUGGUGUCAGCUGAGAAAAUCCCUUGCCCCUUGUGAUUGUUUAGUAGAUUGAUAUUGCAAUGUUUAUAUAAAACUUCAAUAUUUCUGUAAUUCGUG